This 460-nucleotide ribosomal RNA is filed under the name uncultured bacterium. RNAcentral's name for it is "partial 16S ribosomal RNA". It matches the Rfam family "Bacterial small subunit ribosomal RNA", at positions 338 to 795 of the family's 1533-position model. The record is from RNAcentral.
CCUACGGGAGGCUGCAGUGAGGAAUAUUGGUCAAUGGACGAGAGUCUGAACCAGCCACGUAGCGUGAAGGAUGACUGCCCUAUGGUUUGUAAACUCCUUUUAUAUGGAAAUAAAAAGUUCCACGUGUGGAGUUUUGUAUGUCCCAUAUGAAUUAGGAUCGGCUAACUCCGUGCCAGCAGCCGCGGUAAUACGGAGGAUCCGAGGGUUAUCCGGAUUUAUUGGGUUGAAUGGGCGCGUAGGUGGAUUGUUAAGUCAGUUGUGAAAGUUUGCGGCUCAACCGUAAAAUUGCAGUUGAAACUGGCAGUCUUGAGUACAGUAGAGGUGGGCGGAAUUCGGAGUGUAGCGGUGAAAUGCGUAGAUAUCACGAAGAACUCCAAUGGCGAAGGCAGUUCACUGGACUGCAACUGACACUGAGGCUCGAAAGUGUGGGGAGCAAACAGGAUUAGAUACCCUAGUAGUC